GUAGCAAGGUUAACCGUAUAGGGGAGCCGCAGGGAAACCGAGUCUUAACUGGGCGUUAAGUUGCAGGGUAUAGACCCGAAACCCGGUGAUCUAGCCAUGGGCAGGUUGAAGGUUGGGUAACACUAACUGGAGGACCGAACCGACUAAUGUUGAAAAAUUAGCGGAUGACUUGUGGCUGGGGGUGAAAGGCCAAUCAAACCGGGAGAUAGCUGGUUCUCCCCGAAAGCUAUUUAGGUAGCGCCUCGUGAAUUCAUCUUCGGGGGUAGAGCACUGUUUCGGCUAGGGGGUCAUCCCGACUUACCAACCCGAUGCAAACUACGAAUACCGAAGAAUGUUAGCACGGGAGACACACGGCGGGUGCUAACGUCCGUCGUGAAGAGGGAAACAACCCAGACCGCCAGCUAAGGUCCCAAAGUCAUGGUUAAGUGGGAAACGAUGUGGGAAGGCACAGACAGCCAGGAUGUUGGCUUAGAAGCAGCCAUCAUUUAAAGAAAGCGUAAUAGCUCACUGGUCGAGUCGGCCUGCGCGGAAGAUGUAACGGGGCUAAACCAUGCACCGAAGCUGCGGCAGCGACACUAUGUGUUGUUGGGUAGGGGAGCGUUCUGUAAGCCUGCGAAGGUGACCUGUGAGGGUUGCUGGAGGUAUCAGAAGUGCGAAUGCUGACAUAAGUAACGAUAAAGCGGGUGAAAAGCCCGCUCGCCGGAAGACCAAGGGUUCCUGUCCAACGUUAAUCGGGGCAGGGUGAGUCGACCCCUAAGGCGAGGCCGAAAGGCGUAGUCGAUGGGAAACAGGUUAAUAUUCCUGUACUUGGUGUUACUGCGAAGGGGGGACGGAGAAGGCUAUGUUAGCCGGGCGACGGUUGUCCCGGUUUAAGCAUGUAGGCUGAUUGUCCAGGCAAAUCCGGAUAAUCAAGGCUGAGGUGUGAUGACGAGGCACUACGGUGCUGAAGUAACAAAUGCCCUGCUUCCAGGAAAAGCCUCUAAGCAUCAGGUAACAUCAAAUCGUACCCCAAACCGACACAGGUGGUCAGGUAGAGAAUACCAAGGCGCUUGAGAGAACUCGGGUGAAGGAACUAGGCAAAAUGGUGCCGUAACUUCGGGAGAAGGCACGCUGGUGUGUAGGUGAAGUCCCUGCGGAUGGAGCUGAGACCAGUCGAAGAUACCAGCUGGCUGCAACUGUUUAUUAAAAACACAGCACUGUGCAAACACGAAAGUGGACGUAUACGGUGUGACGCCUGCCCGGUGCCGGAAGGUUAAUUGAUGGGGUUAUCCGUAAGGAGAAGCUCUUGAUCGAAGCCCCGGUAAACGGCGGCCGUAACUAUAACGGUCCUAAGGUAGCGAAAUUCCUUGUCGGGUAAGUUCCGACCUGCACGAAUGGCGUAAUGAUG
Molecule: ribosomal RNA, 1387 nt
Filed under: Klebsiella pneumoniae
Lineage: Bacteria; Pseudomonadati; Pseudomonadota; Gammaproteobacteria; Enterobacterales; Enterobacteriaceae
Description: bacterial LSU rRNA
Rfam family: Bacterial large subunit ribosomal RNA
Source: RNAcentral